AAUCAUGAGAGUGUAAAAUGUAUAUUAUAUUUUAGAAUGUACAAAUUGUAUUACUUAACUUACCGAUCAUCCCUAAAGCAAGUAGUAAAGAACUUGAUGGUUGAUACCCGAGGUUCCAAAUUCGAAUUCUAAUUGAUUCACAUUUCUAGCUAAGUUUAUUUCUAAAUAAAAUAAACGAAGCAUUCUGCCUGUGGUUUAGCUUAUUUUUUACUUUAUCUUCCUGUGUUUCAAAAGGUUUUAUUUUACCACUUUUACGGUUUAAUUUUUAUUUUACUUCAAAUAUUUUAUAUGAAAUAACCAAAUAGGAUACCGAUAAAGCAAACUUUUUUUUUAAAAAAAAAAUCACAGAAUGACAAAAUAAAAAAUACGCUAAGGGUGUGUUUGGUUCCACGUAAAACUGUGGAAAAAAAAAUUUUCGGUGGAAAAAAAGUUUUAUGUUGUUUGUGUUUGGUUUGUAGGAAAAGAAAAAUAGUUUUUCGUGACGGUUGUUUGGUUGAAAGAAAAAAAAAAACUAUUUAAUAUAUAUUUUAUUAUAUAUAUUAUUAAUAUAUAAUAAUUAUUGUUAUGUUAUAUAUGAAAAAU
RNAcentral lists this long non-coding RNA (582 nucleotides) under Ananas comosus (pineapple). RNAcentral describes it as "long non-coding RNA (ACOM_LNC004081)". Lineage: Eukaryota; Viridiplantae; Streptophyta; Magnoliopsida; Poales; Bromeliaceae. The record is from RNAcentral.